This 253-nucleotide ribosomal RNA is filed under the name uncultured bacterium. RNAcentral's name for it is "partial 16S ribosomal RNA". It matches the Rfam family "Bacterial small subunit ribosomal RNA", at positions 524 to 776 of the family's 1533-position model. The record is from RNAcentral.
UACGAGAGGCCCAAACGUUAUUCGGAAUUACUGGGCUUAAAGAGUUCGUAGGCGGCGCAGAAAGUAGGGUGUGAAAGCCCUCGGCUCAACCGAGGAAUUGCGCUCUAAACUACUGUGCUUGAGGAAGCUAGAGGUGAGCGGAACUGAUGGUGGAGCGGUGAAAUGCGUUGAUAUCAUCAGGAACACCGGAGGCGAAGGCGGCUCACUGGGGCUUUUCUGACGCUGAGGCACGAAAGCUAGGGUAGCGAACGGG